GAUCAUGGCUCAGGACGAACGCUGGCGGCAUGCUUAACACAUGCAAGUCGAACGAGCUGAUUCCUUCGGGAUGAAAGCGAGUGGCGAACGGGUGAGUAAUGUAUGAGUAACCUGCCUCUGUCUACGGGAUAACAUUUGGAAACAAGUGCUAAUACGGUAUAAGACCACAGCACCGCAUGGUGCAGGGGUAAAAGAUUUAUCGGAUAGAGAUGGACUCAUAUCCCAUUAG
RNAcentral lists this ribosomal RNA (229 nucleotides) under uncultured bacterium. RNAcentral's name for it is "partial 16S ribosomal RNA". It matches the Rfam family "Bacterial small subunit ribosomal RNA", at positions 15 to 244 of the family's 1533-position model. The record is from RNAcentral.